UUUUUGAGACGGAGUCUCACUCUGUCGCCAGGUAUAGUGCAGUGGCGCGAUCUUGGCUCACUGCAACCUCUGGCUCCCUGGUUCAAGCGAUUCUCCUGACUCAGCUUCCCAAGUAGCUGGGAUUACAGGCACACACAACCAGGCCCAGCUAAUUUUUGUAUUGUUAGUAGAGACGGGGUUUCGCUGUGUUGGCCAGGAUGGUCUCGAUCUCCUGACCUCGUGAUCCGCCAGCCUCGGCCUCCCAAAGUGCUGAGAUUACAGCCAUGAGCCACAGUGCCAGGCCUCACAUCAUCACUUUCAAACUAUCCUCCUUCCUCAAAAGCCCCACCUCUUUGUGUCUACAUUCUAAUGAUCACCCAGUCACACCCCUCAUUCACUGAAGACUUGACUCCUAGCUCACUGUCUUCCUCUUCAUCCUGACUGGCGUCCUCAUUUUUAUCCAGAUAGCCUCCCAUCUGACACCUGGGGUCCUCAACCCACCAACCUCACUGCUUUUUUUUUUUUUUUUUUUUUUUUUUUUUUUUUUUUUUUUAACUCUUAUGUCUAUUCUGUGUUCAUUCUCUCCCUUAUCCACCUUUGAUGUCCUGGUCGUCAUUAUGAAAAGCAAUUGUACUUCUUUUAUAUUCACUUGCCCAUCUGAGUAUAACUUCUCUGGGCCUGCACCAGA
This 667-nucleotide long non-coding RNA is filed under the name Homo sapiens (human). Its description in RNAcentral is "non-protein coding lnc-KLHL23-1:1". The record is from RNAcentral. Lineage: Eukaryota; Metazoa; Chordata; Mammalia; Primates; Hominidae.